RNAcentral lists this ribosomal RNA (1372 nucleotides) under uncultured bacterium. RNAcentral's name for it is "bacterial SSU rRNA". It matches the Rfam family "Bacterial small subunit ribosomal RNA", at positions 28 to 1381 of the family's 1533-position model. The record is from RNAcentral.
GAUGAACGCUGGCGGCGUGCCUAAUACAUGCAAGUCGAGCGAACGGACGAGAAGCUUGCUUUUCUGAUGUUAGCGGCGGACGGGUGAGUAACACGUGGAUAACCUACCUAUAAGACUGGGAUAACUUCGGGAAACCGGAGCUAAUACCGGAUAAUAUUUUGAACCGCAUGGUUCAAAAGUGAAAGACGGUCUUGCUGUCACUUAUAGAUGGAUCCGCGCUGCAUUAGCUAGUUGGUAAGGUAACGGCUUACCAAGGCAACGAUGCAUAGCCGACCUGAGAGGGUGAUCGGCCACACUGGAACUGAGACACGGUCCAGACUCCUACGGGAGGCAGCAGUAGGGAAUCUUCCGCAAUGGGCGAAAGCCUGACGGAGCAACGCCGCGUGAGUGAUGAAGGUCUUCGGAUCGUAAAACUCUGUUAUUAGGGAAGAACAUAUGUGUAAGUAACUGUGCACAUCUUGACGGUACCUAAUCAGAAAGCCACGGCUAACUACGUGCCAGCAGCCGCGGUAAUACGUAGGUGGCAAGCGUUAUCCGGAAUUAUUGGGCGUAAAGCGCGCGUAGGCGGUUUUUUAAGUCUGAUGUGAAAGCCCACGGCUCAACCGUGGAGGGUCAUUGGAAACUGGAAAACUUGAGUGCAGAAGAGGAAAGUGGAAUUCCAUGUGUAGCGGUGAAAUGCGCAGAGAUAUGGAGGAACACCAGUGGCGAAGGCGACUUUCUGGUCUGUAACUGACGCUGAUGUGCGAAAGCGUGGGGAUCAAACAGGAUUAGAUACCCUGGUAGUCCACGCCGUAAACGAUGAGUGCUAAGUGUUAGGGGGUUUCCGCCCCUUAGUGCUGCAGCUAACGCAUUAAGCACUCCGCCUGGGGAGUACGACCGCAAGGUUGAAACUCAAAGGAAUUGACGGGGACCCGCACAAGCGGUGGAGCAUGUGGUUUAAUUCGAAGCAACGCGAAGAACCUUACCAAAUCUUGACAUCCUUUGACAACUCUAGAGAUAGAGCCUUCCCCUUCGGGGGACAAAGUGACAGGUGGUGCAUGGUUGUCGUCAGCUCGUGUCGUGAGAUGUUGGGUUAAGUCCCGCAACGAGCGCAACCCUUAAGCUUAGUUGCCAUCAUUAAGUUGGGCACUCUAAGUUGACUGCCGGUGACAAACCGGAGGAAGGUGGGGAUGACGCCAAAUCAUCAUGCCCCUUAUGAUUUGGGCUACACACGUGCUACAAUGGACAAUACAAAGGGCAGCGAAACCGCGAGGUCAAGCAAAUCCCAUAAAGUUGUUCUCAGUUCGGAUUGUAGUCUGCAACUCGACUACAUGAAGCUGGAAUCGCUAGUAAUCGUAGAUCAGCAUGCUACGGUGAAUACGUUCCCGGGUCU